UAUAUACUCCCUCCAUCCCAAAAUUCUUGUCUUAAAUUUGUCUAGAUAAGGAUGUUUCUAGUAUUAGAUACAUCCGUAUCUAGACUAAUCUAAGACAAGAAUUUUGCGACAGAGGGAGUAUUUU
Molecule: non-coding RNA, 124 nt
Organism: Triticum aestivum (bread wheat)
Lineage: Eukaryota; Viridiplantae; Streptophyta; Magnoliopsida; Poales; Poaceae
Source: Rfam